This 766-nucleotide ribosomal RNA is filed under the name uncultured bacterium. RNAcentral describes it as "bacterial SSU rRNA". It matches the Rfam family "Bacterial small subunit ribosomal RNA", at positions 31 to 815 of the family's 1533-position model. The record is from RNAcentral.
GAACGCUGGCGGCGUGCUUAAUACAUGCAAGUCGAACGGGAACCCUUGGAUUCGUCUGGGGGGGAGAGUGGCGAACUGGUGAGUAACACGUAGGUGACCUGCCCCGAAGACGGGGAUAACCAUUGGAAACGGUGGCUAAUACCCGAUAUGCUCGGUAAUUCGUUUUACCGUGUAAAGCUCCGGCGCUUCGGGAUGGACCUGCGGCCUAUCAGCUAGUUGGUAGGGUAAUGGCCUACCAAGGCGAAGACGGGUAGGGGGCGUGAGAGCGCGGUCCCCCACACUGGCACUGAGACACGGGCCAGACUCCUACGGGAGGCAGCAGUCGGGGAUAUUGCACAAUCAGCGAAAGCUGGAUGCAGCGACGCCGCGUGGGCGAUGAAGGCCUUCGGGUUGUAAAGCCCUUUUCUGGGGGAAGAGACAAGGACGGUACCCCAGGAAUAAGUCCCGGCUAACUACGUGCCAGCAGCCGCGGUAAAACGUAGGGGACAAGCGUUAUCCGGAUUUACUGGGCGUAAAGUGCGUUGAGGCGGUUCCGUAAGUUGGACGUGAAAGCCCCGGGCUCAACUCGGGGAGGUCGUUCAAUACUGCGGGACUUGAGGACAGCAGAGGGAGGUGGAAUUCCAGGUGUAGCGGUGAAAUGCGUAGAGAUCUGGAGGAACACCAGUGGCGAAGGCGGCCUCCUGGGCUGUUCCUGACGCUGAAGGCGAAAGCUAGGGUAGCAAACGGGAUUAGAGACCCCGGUAGUCCUAGCCGUAAACGAUGGAUG